AUUGAACGCUGGCGGCAUGCCUUACACAUGCAAGUCGAACGGUAGAUGGGGCAACCUCUCGAGAGUGGCGAACGGGUGAGUAAAGCAUCGGAACGUGCCCAGCAGUGGGGGAUAGCACGGCGAAAGCCGGUUUAAUACCGCAUGAGACCUACGGGUGUAAGGGGGGGAUCGCAAGACCUCUCGUUAUUGGAGCGGCCGAUGUCAGAUUAGGUAGUUGGUGGGGUAAAGGCCUAACAAGCCGACGAUCUGUAGCUGGUCUGAGAGGACGACCAGCCAGACUGGGACGGAGACACGGCCCAGAGUGCUGGGGGAAGCGGCAGUGGGGCAUUGUGGAGCAUGGGCGAAAGCCUGAUCAAGACAUGCCGCGUGCGGGAAGAAGGCCUUCGGGUUGUAAGCCGCAUUUGUCAGGGAAGAAAACCUUUGAGUUAAUACCUCGGGGGGAUGACGGUACCUGAAGAAUAAGCACCGGCUAAAUACGUGCCAGCAGCCGCCGUAA
Molecule: ribosomal RNA, 496 nt
Filed under: uncultured bacterium
Lineage: Bacteria
Description: partial 16S ribosomal RNA
Rfam family: Bacterial small subunit ribosomal RNA
Source: RNAcentral